This 254-nucleotide ribosomal RNA is filed under the name uncultured bacterium. RNAcentral describes it as "partial 16S ribosomal RNA". It matches the Rfam family "Bacterial small subunit ribosomal RNA", at positions 524 to 776 of the family's 1533-position model. The record is from RNAcentral.
UACGGGGGGAGCAAGCGUUGUUCGGACUUACUGGGCGUAAAGGGCGCGUAGGCGGCCAGUGCAAGUCAGUUGUGAAAUCUCCGAGCUUAACUCGGAAAGGUCAACUGAUACUGCUCGGCUAGAGUGCGGAAGGGGCAACUGGAAUUCUUGGUGUAGCGGUGAAAUGCGUAGAUAUCAAGAGGAACACCUGCGGCGAAGGCGGGUUGCUGGGCCGACACUGACGCUGAUGCGCGAAAGCUAGGGGAGCGAACGGG